ACCUCCGGUUUACCGGUUGUGCCGCCAGGUGCACCGCCGGGUAUCUGAGUCUGGAUCGGAUAAGCGCUGAAAGCAUCUAAGUGCGAAGCCGGCCGCAAGAUUAGAACUCCUCAUAAGGGUCGUCCAAGACGAGGACGUUGAUAGGGCGCAGGUGUAAAGGCGGCGACGCCAAAGCCGAGCGCUACUAAUUGCCCGAAACUUUCUUAC
Molecule: ribosomal RNA, 207 nt
Filed under: Prevotella sp.
Lineage: Bacteria; Pseudomonadati; Bacteroidota; Bacteroidia; Bacteroidales; Prevotellaceae
Description: partial 23S ribosomal RNA
Rfam family: Bacterial large subunit ribosomal RNA
Source: RNAcentral